CUUGCCCACAGUCUCUUGUUGAGCUUCCUCCUCUUUGGAAGUUGUAGUUGUCAUCAUUAGGCCUCCAACCUUGUCCUUGUCCAUGACCUCAUCCUCUUGUGCGAUGUCCACCAUGACCUCGUCCUCGUUGGCUUUUAUUAUUGUGACUACUUUCUUUGUUGGUCAAAUUAACUUGUGUCUUGAUUAGUUGCUUCAUGAUCCCUUCCUUCUUCUUUUCUUUUCUUCAUAACCUUGUAAUGAGCCCAAAAGUUGCUUAAUGGUCAUGACCUCCAAGUCUUUUGUUUCUUCGAUGAUGGCGACAAUAUAUAUACUCAUACUUUGGAUCAAACUACCUGAGGAUUUCCUCCAUAAUUUUUACAUCAUCAAACUUUUCACCAUUUCUCUUAAGUUGAUUGGUG
This 398-nucleotide long non-coding RNA is filed under the name Glycine max (soybean). RNAcentral describes it as "long non-coding RNA (GMAX_LNC004196)". Lineage: Eukaryota; Viridiplantae; Streptophyta; Magnoliopsida; Fabales; Fabaceae. The record is from RNAcentral.